GCCCGCCGUCAUCCCGCCGUCCGCGCACGCCCAGGCCGCGCGAAUCAGCCCUGUUUCGCCCCUGUUCCGCACCGACCAGCCACCGUCCGGCCACCUCUGGCCACCGCCCAGCCCCGCCGGACUUCCCUGGCGUUCCCCUUGCUCUCCGCCGGCCUUCCCUCGCCGUUUUGGCCGCCGGAUCUGCUCCGACCAGCCAAGGGCAGAAACCCACGAAAUGGGUUUCCAGCUGGUUCGGGCCCGUUUUGGGCCGUUUCCCGGCCCCGGAUCCGCGAGUCGCUUUGGAGUUUGUCGUUCCUCGCGCCGCCGCCGUCGGAUUGAUCCGAUUUGUGCGCGAUUUGGUGAGUAAUCUCACUAAUCUUGGAUUAGUUGGCUAAUUAUGCUUAAGGUUGGUUUAGAUUUAAUUAAUUAUGUUUAGGUUGUUAGAUUAUAAUAAAUUAGCAAUUAUUAGUGAAUUGUGAUGCGAUUUAGAUAAAUUGAUUGCGCAAUUAGCAAGUAGACGUGGUCUACUAAUUAUUGGAAGUGCUUCGGGAAUUUUCCCGACCCUUAGUGGGCUCCAAUUAGGCUUUUCGGGCCUAAGUGGAUAUUUUUAGUAUUUAAUUAUUAAUUUUCCCGGAGACUUGGAAGGUCAUCCUGGAGAAUGCACGUGGCCUAGCUUUUAAAUAUCCCACAGUGGGGAUUGAUGUGUUUGACAUGUAAUCGACUAGGUCGAUGCUUUGAUUUGAUGUUGUGAAUUGAUUGACUGAAUGGAAUUGACCGUGAGUGGUCUUGUCGGAAUAUAAUCGACUAGGUUGAUUUGAUCGAUGCUUCGAUCGGUGAUAUGUUUGCUUGGGUGCCUAUUAUGAAUUGUACUGACUUGCAGGUGGGAUCAGAGGCCAAGGUAAGUCCUCUGCCCUGUGCGUGUUUAGGCAGCCUUUAGUAUAAUAGUUUACUAAUCGGGCUUAGUGGGGUAGAACUCGCUGAGACGUAGUCUCAUCCCAAUUUGGGGAAAACCAUUUCAGGACCCCGGUGAGAAGCUGAAGAGGAGGAGUCUAAGAAGGAGAACUCGGAGGUGAAACUUAAGGAGAAAGAUUUUUGGGAGAAGAUGAUAAUCCCGAGAAGGGCCUUGAGUACGGCCCGAAUGGCUAAGAGUUUCUGUCUCCUUUUGAGAUCUCCGUUUUGAUGUGAAUAGUUUUGAAGUGGUUUGUGUUUUGUAUAAAAGUUUGGUUAUAAAUUUCAAUAUGAAAAAUAUGGCCCUGCUUUUCUAUCCCAUCGUUUUAUUGUCUGGGGAUUUUAACUGCUUCCACAUGUGCUAAAUAAAAUGAAAGGGUCGGCGAUACAUUGUCCUGGGAUAUCGCAUUAUAAAAUCGACCAAGGUAGAAGGAUGUGUGCGUGCCCGAGGAUCGGGGCGUGACAUCCAGUUUAAGUGGUAUCAGAGCGAAGUUGAAGAUUGGAGUGAUAAGGAGCGUUGACCAUGGGAUAGUUAGUAGGAAAGGCCUUUAAAUUCAUGCUGGUGCAUGUCUGUGUUAGCUGAGUGCUAAAAUUGUUUGUUGUGUGUGGAUCGCUCAUCUUCUAAUCCAGUGUGGAUUUGGAAGACGGGUUGCAGUGUAAGACUGAACCAUGAGCGAGUAGGAGCUGAGAACUCCUAGUGAGAGGACAAUGUCCUCUGUGACUCGGGAUGAUGCACUGACAAAGGUCGGUACCCGAGGUGGUUGUGGCAGAGUGUUGGCUCUGGCCAGCUCGAGUGUAAGAGUACCACCGCAGGUUGGUACUAGUGUAGCAGCGUCGAAUGAUCCUAAGUUCGAUAGGAUCGUUCUGAUGCUAGUGUUCCUUGGGAACUGGAUGAGCCAGCAGGCUUAGGAUCGAGCCACCGUCAGUGUUGCAAUCGUCGUUGUCGCCUCACAUGCUGAGAUCCAGAGUGGAGAUGUGAUCCAGGAGCGAGUCAUUGCAUUUGAGCCAAGGUAUAGAUCCGGUCCAGGCAGAAAUGGAAAUCGGUCAGGGAAAAGAUCGAGGUCAAGAGUGGUCCUAGCAGACUGAUGAGGCAACCAGAAGAGUGCAUGCUUUCGCCUAAUAGAAGAUAGAAGAUGCACCAGAAAAGUGUCAGAAUUGUAGAAGGAAAUAUUGAUCAAUCCAGUGUCUGAGUAUGACGAGAACCUGUUGUGAUGAUGACUUAGCAUGGCCAUCAGGUGAAGGAUUGUCAGUGGAAGUCCAAGGUAGCAUAGGCAUCGCUACUGCGGCAGAACGCCACUAGGAUGGCGAAAGGAAUGAGAGUAUAAUCGAUCUUGCACCGAUUAGAGAAAGAAUGUAUUGGAGGUGAUUUUAUCAGAGUAUCGUAGCAGAGUUUUGUGCUGAGUUGGUAGAACUUAAAUUGUUGAAGUAAAAGUGAAAGCGAAGGGAAUUGCUAGCAAUAGUUGUGCUUGACUAGUUGCUGAGGUGUGAGUUUGACGCUACAUGAAUAGUGUGAGUUCAUAGAGCAUCUGGUGAUAAGGAAUCAUAUGGUUAUGGAAUAAUCCAGUUUAGUCUAUUAGUUGCGAAAAUGUCGAGAUUAUUAAGAGUCGAAAAGAAUCUUCAAUUUCAUUAAUCUCGUUGGCUAAAGACAAUCCGUUUGUUAGACGGAAGUUGCCAAGAUUGAUUUGACAGCUGUAGUGGAUGUGUCAGUUGAGAAAUAGAAUGAGAAGAAGGUGGCUGUGAUGCAGAAAAUUUCUAAGAUGGUUCCAAAGGAAUUGCUUGAGUUACCGCCAGAAAGAGAAAUUGAAAUUGUAAUUGAGCUAGCACCAGGGACAGAACCGAUUUCAAAGGUACCUUACCGAAUGGCGUUAUUUGAGUUGAAGGAAUUGAAGAUGCAGAUGUGAAGAUUAAUGAAUGAGGAAUUCAUGCAUAUCAGUGCAUCACUUUGGGGAAACAUUAGUUUUGUUUGUGAGAAGAAAAAAGAUGGUUUAUUGCGAGUGUGCAUCGACUAUUGUUAACUCAAGGACAAGUGUUCUUUGCCAAAGAUCCAUGAAUGGUGUGACUAGUUAUAAAGAGUAUCGAUGUUUUAAAAGUCGACUUGAGAUUAUGAAGUCGUUAGUUACGAACCAGGAUGGAGGUUGUACUAGAGAUAGCUGUUCGUACUUGAUAUGGUUUUUUACUAGAGUACUAUAAGAUCAUUUGGCCUGGUGAACACUCUAGUUGCUGUGAUGGAUUUGGCAAACAGAAUGUUCAAGGAAUAUCUGGAUCAGUUUAUGAUCGUGUUCAUUGAUGAUAUCUUGGUCUAUUCAAGAAGUGAUGAAGAGCAUGAGAAUUAUCUAAGAAUAGUACUCCAGACCUUAAGAACUCAUCAAGGGUAUGCUAAGUUUGGCAAAUGCGAGUUUUGGCCAACUCGUGUUGCGUUUUUAGGUCAUGUGAUUUCCGGAGAAGGAAUCUCCGUCGACCCGAGCAAAAUAGAAGCCGUGAUCAAUUGGCAGAGACUGACAUCAGUGUCAGAGAUCAGAAGUUUUCUGGGGUUAGCAGGUUACUACAGACGGUUUGUGGAAGGGUUCUCAUCGAUAGCGUCGCCUCUGACAAAGCUCCUGAAGAAAGAAGAAAAAUUUGUAUGGUCAGACAAGUGCGAGUGUAGUUUCCAAGAGCUAAAGGAAAAGCUGACUACCGCACCUGUACUGACGAUUCCAUCUGGUUCUGGAGGAUUCGGAAUCUAUAGUGAUGCGUCAUUCAGGGGAUUGGGUUGCGUGCUGAUGCAACAUGGCAGAGUUGUUGCAUACGCUUCCCGGCAGUUGAGACCUCAUGAAUUGAAUUACCCGACGCAUGACUUAGAACUCGCAGCCAUCAUAUUUGCAUUGAAGAUUUGGAGGCACUACUUGUGUGGGGAAAAGUUUCAGAUCUUCACGGACCAUCAGAGUCUCAAGUAUUUGUUCUCUCAGAGGGAGUUGAACAUGAGACAGCGUCAAUGGAUGGAAUUGUUGAAGGAUUAUGACUGUGAUAUUCUAUAUCACUCGGGAAAGGCGAAUAAGGUUGCCGAUGCAUUGAGUCGGAAGUCUUCAAUAGCGCGGAUCUUGGUUAAGGAGUGGAACUUAAUCGAGAGAGCUCGAGAUUCGGAAUUCAAAUUUGAGGUAGGCCACCUUUCAAGUCUUAUGGCCACCCUCAAAAUUGAGCCGGAUGUCCAGGUCAGAAUCAAGCAACUUCAACCGACAGAUCCAGACGUGCAGAAAAUUCUUCAAGAGGAUACCGAGAAAAGAAAAGCUGAUUUUCAAGUUUCUAAUGAUGGGACUCUAAGGUUCCAAGGAUGUUUGGUUGUACCUGACGAUGUUGAGCUUAUAGAAGAAAUUUUAUCUGAAGCACAUCGUAGCAAUUACAGCAUUCAUCCUGGAAGCACUAAAAUGUAUCGGAAUUUGCGUCAACACUACUAGUGGUCAGGUAUGAAGGCGGACAUCGCCAAGCAUGUGGCCAAGUGUUUCUUGUCAGCAAGUAAAAGCCCAGCAUUGCAAACCGGGAGGACUUCUGCAACCUCUUGCGAUCCUAGAAUGGAAGUGAGAGCAUAUCAUGAUGAACUUCGUGACUGGACUACCAAGGAGUCAGAAGGGGAAUGAUUCGAUUUGGGUAGUAGUCGACAGGCUGACAAAGUCGGCUCACUUCAUUGCAGUUCGAAAGGACCUGAGUCUGGAUAGACACGCAGACCUGUAUGUGCGUCAGGUGGUUCGUAUGCAUGGAGUGCCGGUUACGAUAACAUCUUAUAGAGACCCGAGGUUUACUGCUGCUUUUUGGAAAAGCUUACAGGUACGAAGCUUCAGUACAGUACAACAUAUCAUCCUCAGACGGAUGGUCAGUCUGAAAGGGCAAUUCAGACUCUUGAAGACAUGCUGAGAGCGUGUGUAAUAGACUUCAAAGGAAGUUUGGAGGAUCAGCUUCAUUUGGUGGAAUUCGCCUACAACAACAGUUAUCAGCAGAGCACCAAGAUGGCUCCAUUUGAAGCGUUGUAUGGUAGAGCAUGCAGAACUCUAGUAUGUUGGGAUGAAGUCGAAGAAAGGAAGAUAUCAGGCCUAGAGUUAGUUCAGCGAUCAGUAGGUGCUGUGGCAGUGAUCAGAGACAGAUUGAAGACAGCGCAGAGCAGGCAGAAAAGUUAUGCAGAAUAGCGUCGAAGGUCUUUGGAAUUCCAAGUUGGUGAUCACGUUUUUCUAAAAGUGUCACCAAUGAGGGGAACUUCGCGCUUUGGUAAAAAAGGCAGGUUGAGUCCGAGGUACGUAGGUUCGUUUGAGAUUCUUGAAAGAAUCGGAAACCUAACGUAUCGUCUUGCGUUGCAGCCAAGAUUGGCGCAAAUGCAUGACGUCUUUCAUGUGUCGAGGUUAAGGAAGUGCGAACCUGACCCGACCCACAUGCUCAAUUUCGAGGAAUUGGACGUGGAUGACCGUGUGUCAUACGUGGAAAGCCCGGCUCAAAUUGUCGAUCGCAAAGAGCAAGUUCUGCGUACAAAGACCAUUCCGUUGGUCAAAGUGGUCUGGCAACACCACGGUACUGAAGGAGCGACUUGGGAGACUGAAGAGUCGAUGAGACAAUUAUACCCCCGCCUUUUUGAACAAAGUGUAAUGGCUUAAAUUUCGAGGACGAAAUUUUUAUAAGAGGGGAAGAGUUGUGACAUCCUGAAAUUCGACCCCGUUUCGAUAAAGUGAAAUGGGCAUUUCGUCAACGUGCCUAUGGCUCUUUUUCUCUGAGCUGAUCACUCACGAGUUAACUGACCUAUUGGGUGAAACCGUUAAGGGAUGUAUCGGCCGUAAAAUCCCUAAAAGCUACCUAAUUGGUUGGAUUGAGCUAAAAUCACGUCUGAUCGAUUUUUAACCACGAAAUUGAACUCGAUUUCGGGAAUCGAAUUUUAAGCAUGUCAUAAUCCUUUUUUUUUAGGACAUUGUCUCAUCGCUCGUCAAUUUAUUGACGAGUCCGAAAUUUCAAGAAAGAAAUUAUCGGAAGAAAAAGAUUGAAGACCAAAAAGAAAAUAGAAAGGAAAAGGAAAAGAGAAAAGGAAAUUAGCAUAAAAGAAUUAUGUAUUUCCCUUUUCUUUUUCCUCUCUCUCCCUCUCUUUUCUUUUCUUUAUUUUCUUUUUCUCUCUCUCUCCUCUCCCCUUUUUCCCUCCCCCUCGUGCGAAUUGCCCCCACCGCUCACUUUCUCUCUCUCCUCUUUGACCGGUCAAUACAUAUCCUCUCCCCUCUCUUCUCUCUCCUCUCUCUUCUUCCUUCCCACACACGACAGAACCAACUUCUUCUUCUCCUUGUUUUGUCGCGUGCGAACCAGCAAGCCCGAACCAGAAGCAGCGAGCAUCACCGUCAGACGAAGACAGCAGCCGCUCGUCCCGCCGCCGCACCGCCGCUCACACGCCUGCGACAACUGCUCGCCCGUGCGCCCGCCGUCAUCCCGCCGUCCGCGCACGCCCAGGCCGCGCGAAUCAGCCCUGUUUCGCCCCUGUUCCGCACCGACCAGCCACCGUCCGGCCACCUCUGGCCACCGCCCAGCCUCGCCGGACUUCCCCGGCGUUCCCCUUACUCUCCGCCGGCCUUCCCUCGCCGUUUUGGCCGCCGGAUCUGCUCCGACCAGCCAAGGGCAGAAACCCACGAAAUGGGUUUCCAGCUGGUUCGGGCCCGUUUUGGGCCGUUUCCCGGCCCCGGAUCCGCGAGUCGCUUUGGAGUUUGUCGUUCCUCGCGUCGCCGCCGUCGGAUUGAUCCAAUUUGUGCGCGAUUUGGUGAGUAAUCUCACUAAUCUUGGAUUAGUUGGCUAAUUAUGCUUAAGGUUGGUUUAGAUUUAAUUAAUUAUGUUUAGGUUGUUAGAUUAUAAUAAAUUAGCAAUUAUUAGUGAAUUGUGAUGCGAUUUAGAUAAAUUGAUUGCGCAAUUAGCAAGUAGACGUGGUCUACUAAUUAUUGGAAGUGCUUCAGGAAUUUUCCCGACCCUUAGUGGGCUCCAAUUAGGCUUUUCGGGCCUAAGUGGAUAUUUUUAGUAUUUAAUUAUUAAUUUUCGGAAUUAAAUUAUUAUUUAUUUAUUUUCCGGAAAUUCAACUGAGAUGGCCUGGAACCGGAAAAUUAUGUUGAUGACCGUGGUGAAGUCCGUUUAUUUAAUCGGGCUUUAAUUUGAGCUAAAUGGGAUUUUUAAUAUUAAUUAUUUAAUAUUCGAAAUUAAUUAUUUAUUUAUUUAUUUUCCGGAAAUUCAACUGAGAUGGCCUGGAACCGGAAAAUUAUGCUGAUGACCGUGGUGAAGUCCGUUUAUUUAAUCGGGCUUUAUUUUGUACUAAAUUGAAUUUUUAAUAUUUAUUAAUUAUUUAUUUUUUGGAAAUUAAGAUUUUGAUGGCCGAUGACCGGAAUCUCGUGCUGAUCGUCGUGGCGCAGUCCGUUUAUUUAUUUGAGCUCUACGUUGUAUGGAAUUGAAUAAAUUGUGAUAUUUUAGGGAUUUACCCUAAAUUGAUUGGAAUCGAUUGAGAUUGAAUUAUCGAUUGGCGAAUGGCCAAGUAUGUUUAUUCAGCAUUUAUAAUGCUUUGUUGAGUUAAUUUAAUUAUUUGAUUGAGUAUUGAUUGAGAUUGAAUUGGCCAAGUGUGUUAUUUAGCAUUUAUAAUGCUUUAUUGAAUUGUUUAUGUUGGCUCUGUGAUCAGUGUAUCACCACGGCGAAAAAGACGCCCGAGAGCAUAUUGAAUUGUUUAUGUUGGCUCUGUGAUCAGUGUAUCACCAUGGCGAAAAAGACGCCCGAGAGCAUAUUGAAUUGUUUAUGUUGGCUCUGUGAUCAGUGUAUCACCAUGGCGAAAAAGACGCCCGAGAGCAUAUUGAAUUGUUUAUGUUGGCUCUGUGAUCAGUGUAUCACCAUGGCGAAAAAGACGCCCGAGAGCAUAGUAAAGUGUGCACUGUACGUCACCUUGGCGAAUCGACGCCCGAGAGCAUUGAUGGAGCUCUGUGACUAAGUGCAGGCAUCUAAAAGGGCACGUGGCUCGGUGACUUGAUGUAUCACCUUGGCGAAGAGGUCGCCUUAGAGAAUGCACGUGGGCCCAAGGUUCGAGGCACGUGACCCGGAGACUUGGAAGGUCAUCCUGGAGAAUGCACGUGGCCUAGCUUUUAAAUAUCCCACAGUGGGGAUUGAUGUGUUUGACAUGUAAUCGACUAGGUCGAUGCUUUGAUUUGAUGUUGUGAAUUGAUUGACUGAAUGGAAUUGACCGUGAGUGGUCUUGUCGGAAUAUAAUCGACUAGGUCGAUUUGAUCGAUGCUUCGAUCGGUGAUAUGUUUGCUUGGGUGCCUAUUAUGAAUUGUACUGACUUGCAGGUGGGAUCAGAGGCCAAGGUAAGUCCUCUGCCCUGUGCGUGUUUAGGCAGCCUUUAGUAUAAUAGUUUACUAAUCGGGCUUAGUGGGGUAGAACUCGCUGAGACGUAGUCUCAUCCCAGUUUGGGGAAAACCAUUUCAGGACCCCGGUGAGAAGCUGAAGAGGAGGAGUCUAAGAAGGAGAACUCGGAGGUGAAACUUAAGGAGAAAGAUUUUUGGGAGAAGAUGAUAAUCCCGAGAAGGGCCUUGAGUACGGCCCGGAUGGCUAAGAGUUUCUGUCUCCUUUUGAGAUCUCCGUUUUGAUGUGAAUAGUUUUGAAGUGGUUUGUGUUUUGUAUAAAAGUUUGGUUAUAAAUUUCAAUAUGAAAAAUAUGGCCCUGCUUUUCUAUCCCAUCGUUUUAUUGUCUGGGG
Molecule: long non-coding RNA, 8638 nt
Filed under: Eucalyptus grandis
Lineage: Eukaryota; Viridiplantae; Streptophyta; Magnoliopsida; Myrtales; Myrtaceae
Description: long non-coding RNA (EGRA_LNC005231)
Source: RNAcentral